CAUGUCGGUUGAUACUAGUUUUUCCUUCAUUUAUAUGCAAAAACUGAAGGAUUCACACGAUUGUUGAAUGUGCUUUACAGCGCCACAACUAUUAAAGGGAAGCUAUUCAAGUCACGCCUCCUGUGUGGUUAUUAUAACAA
Molecule: long non-coding RNA, 140 nt
Organism: Strongylocentrotus purpuratus (purple sea urchin)
Lineage: Eukaryota; Metazoa; Echinodermata; Echinoidea; Camarodonta; Strongylocentrotidae
Exons: 2
Source: RefSeq, a predicted model, not a curated record